AUUGAACGCUGGCGGCAUGCUUUACACAUGCAAGUCGAACGGUAACAGGCCGCAAGGUGCUGACGAGUGGCGAACGGGUGAGUAAUGCAUCGGAACGUGCCCAGUCGUGGGGGAUAACGCAGCGAAAGCUGCGCUAAUACCGCAUACGAUCUAUGGAUGAAAGCGGGGGACCGAAAGGCCUCGCGCGAUUGGAGCGGCCGAUGUCAGAUUAGGUAGUUGGUGGGGUAAAGGCUCACCAAGCCAACGAUCUGUAGCUGGUCUGAGAGGACGACCAGCCACACUGGAACUGAGACACGGUCCAGACUCCUACGGGAGGCAGCAGUGGGGAAUUUUGGACAAUGGGCGCAAGCCUGAUCCAGCAAUGCCGCGUGCAGGAAGAAGGCCUUCGGGUUGUAAACUGCUUUUGUACGGAACGAAACGGCGAGCUCUAAUACAGUUUGCUAACGACGGUACCGUAAGAAUAAGCACCGGCUAACUACGUGCCAGCAGCCGCGGUAAUACGUAGGGUGCAAGCGUUAAUCGGAAUUACUGGGCGUAAAGCGUGCGCAGGCGGUUUUGUAAGACAGGCGUGAAAUCCCCCGGGCUCAACCUGGGAAUUGCGCUUGUGACUGCAAAGCUGGAGUGCGGCAGAGGGGGAUGGAAUUCCGCGUGUAGCAGUGAAAUGCGUAGAUAUGCGGAGGAACACCGAUGGCGAAGGCAAUCCCCUGGGCCUGCACUGACGCUCAUGCACGAAAGCGUGGGGAGCAAACAGGAUUAGAUACCCUGGUAGUCCACGCCCUAAACGAUGUCAACUGGUUGUUGGGUCUCUUCUGACUCAGUAACGAAGCUAACGCGUGAAGUUGACCGCCUGGGGAGUACGGCCGCAAGGUUAAAACUCAAAGGAAUUGACGGGGACCCGCACAAGCGGUGGAUGAUGUGGUUUAAUUCGAUGCAACGCGAAAAACCUUACCCACCUUUGACAUGUACGGAAUCCUUUAGAGAUAGAGGAGUGCUCGAAAGAGAGCCGUAACACAGGUGCUGCAUGGCUGUCGUCAGCUCGUGUCGUGAGAUGUUGGGUUAAGUCCCGCAACGAGCGCAACCCUUGCCAUUAGUUGCUACGAAAGGGCACUCUAAUGGGACUGCCGGUGACAAACCGGAGGAAGGUGGGGAUGACGUCAAGUCCUCAUGGCCCUUAUGGGUAGGGCUUCACACGUCAUACAAUGGUCGGGACAGAGGGUCGCCAACCCGCGAGGGGGAGCCAAUCCCAGAAACCCGAUCGUAGUCCGGAUUGUAGUCUGCAACUCGACUACAUGAAGUCGGAAUCGCUAGUAAUCGCGGAUCAGCAUGUCGCGGUGAAUACGUUCCCGGGUCUUGUACACACCGCCCGUCACACCAUGGGAGUGGGUUUCACCAGAAGUAGUUAGCCUAACCGCAAGGGGGGCGAUUACCACGGUGGGGUUCAUGACUGGGGUG
RNAcentral lists this ribosomal RNA (1452 nucleotides) under uncultured bacterium. RNAcentral's name for it is "bacterial SSU rRNA". It matches the Rfam family "Bacterial small subunit ribosomal RNA". The record is from RNAcentral.